UUUGAUUUUUGCUUGUUUUGAAAAAAAUGGCAAAUAUCCCGUUUCCUCAAUUUGAGAAUGAGCCGUUUUGGGUGUACUUUAAUAAGCUAGAGAACUUCAUUAGUUACAAUGGUUGUGAUCUUUGGGAGGUUGUGAGAUUUGUUAUCAUGGUUUGAAUGAGCAAACUAGAGACAUUAUUGAAAGCAUGUUUAAUGGUAGAUUUCGAGCAUUGUCAAUCAAUGAUGCUUGGAACUUUUAUGUAUGGUUUGUUAGAGAUACCUAUGAUCAUGGUCAUAGUUAUUCAAAUUUUUCUAUUGAUAAUUGUGAUGUUCCAUGUUCCAUGUAUGAUGAAUCUUGCAUGCCUAAUUGUGCCCCCAUUCCCGAUUUUGAUGAUGCCACUCAUAUCUCUAAUGUUGAUCCCCACAUGCUUGCACAUGAUUCAUUUCCCCAUGAUACACUACUACAAAACUUGGAAAAAUGACCCCCAAUUAAAGAUUCGUUAUUUAACUAACGGAUCUGUUUGCUGUAAGAGAUCUUAUAUUAGUUAUACCGGGUCUUGAACCCUUUCUCCCCAAAUUGCAGUGCCCCUACUCUUAUUAUUCGGUACUAUUUUUUAUACUAAUAUAUUUCCCUUUAAACUCAUUCACAUGUUCUCUCACUUAAAAACCUCCGCCCUAACCAAGCCUAACCUCAAAGUAAAUCCUUCAUCCUCCUGAUGAAUCCGCCGUCACUUUCUCAUAGAAAAUUAAAGUUUGUCAAUUUAAAUUUAUUUCUCAAAGAAUUCUUUGAGUUUUGUUAUGAAUUUCGUUCUUAAUUUCUGAAUUUUUUCUCAUCUACUAACUCUAAUUUCAUUUGCUUUUUUCUUCCGGUUAUCACUCUCUGAAUUUUACUCUAUACAUUCUAUCAUCUUAUCACAAGAUUAUUUUCAUUAUUAAUUUUUUUUCUUCAACGCGCCACCCGACGCCACCAAGUCCUACUCCCUCAAUGAGAUCGUUUCCCGCUCUCGCUCCGGCGGAUUGUUAGACGUUAUUGGAAAUCCACUUUUCGAUUCGCGAGUUGGGAAGAAGAAUUGGCCUUAUGGGUCUGGUGUUUGGUCGAAGGAAAAAUGGGUUCUUCAUGAGAUUGGUGAGAAUGACAUCCCUCGGCUUUCGAAGAUUUGCGUGAUUUCGUCACAAGAAAUGCUCAAUCAAAAGGAGAUGGAAAAUGUAGUAUUCAAGUCUUUAUUAAUGUAAUUAUAAAUUUAUAAUUGUAAAUUUCAGUAAAUUCAUUUUUUUUGUUGCA
Long non-coding RNA from Chenopodium quinoa (quinoa), 1260 nucleotides. RefSeq lists it as uncharacterized. Lineage: Eukaryota; Viridiplantae; Streptophyta; Magnoliopsida; Caryophyllales; Amaranthaceae. The transcript is spliced from 3 exons. The record is from RefSeq and is a predicted model, not a curated record.